UACGAAGGGGGCUAGCGUUGCUCGGAAUUACUGGGCGUAAAGCGCACGUAGGCGGCUUUCUGAGUCGGGGGUAAAAUCCUGGAGCUCAACUCCAGAACUGCCUUCGAUACUGGAGAGCUUGAGUCCGGGAGAGGUGAGUGGAACUGCGAGUGUAGAGGUGAAAUUCGUAGAUAUUCGCAAGAACACCAGUGGCGAAGGCGGCUCACUGGCCCGGUACUGACGCUGAGGUGCGAAAGCGUGGGGAGCAAACAGG
This 253-nucleotide ribosomal RNA is filed under the name uncultured bacterium. RNAcentral describes it as "partial 16S ribosomal RNA". It matches the Rfam family "Bacterial small subunit ribosomal RNA", at positions 524 to 776 of the family's 1533-position model. The record is from RNAcentral.